CGUAGGGAGCAAGCGUUAUCCGGAUUUAUUGGGUGUAAAGGGUGCGUAGACGGGAAGGUAAGUUAGUUGUGAAAUCCCUCGGCUCAACUGAGGAACUGCGACUAAAACUGCUUUUCUUGAGUGCUGGAGAGGAAAGUGGAAUUCCUAGUGUAGCGGUGAAAUGCGUAGAUAUUAGGAGGAACACCAGUGGCGAAGGCGACUUUCUGGACAGUAACUGACGUUGAGGCACGAAAGUGUGGGGAGCAAACAGGAUU
Molecule: ribosomal RNA, 254 nt
Filed under: uncultured bacterium
Lineage: Bacteria
Description: partial 16S ribosomal RNA
Rfam family: Bacterial small subunit ribosomal RNA
Source: RNAcentral